CCAGGAGUGGAGCCUGCGGCCUAAUUUGACUCAACACGGGAAAACUCACCCGGUCCGGACACUGGAAGGAUUGACAGAUUGAGAGGUCCUCUUUCUUGAUUCAGUGGGUGGUGGUGGUGGUGCAUGGCCGUUCUUAGUUGGUGGAGCGAUUUGUCUGGUUAAUUCCGAUAACGAACGAGACUCUAGCCUACUAAAUAGAAUACCAGCUUACAUACACGUUGGUGGUAUUAUUCACACUUCUUAGAGGGACAGGCGGCGUCGUUUCAGCCGCACGAAACAGAGCAAUAACAGGUCUGUGAUGCCCCUAGAUGUCCGGGGCCGCACGCGCGCUACAAUGAAGUGAUCAGCGUGUAUAUACUUGGCCUACUCUGUUAAGAGUGGGUAACCCAAUGAAACUUCUUCGUGAUUGGGAUAGGGGAUUGUAAUUAUUCCCCUUGAACGAGGAAUUCCCAGUAAGCGCGAGUCAUUAGCUCGCGUUGAUUACGUCCCUGCCCUUUGUACACACCGCCCGUCGCUACU
RNAcentral lists this ribosomal RNA (519 nucleotides) under uncultured eukaryote. Its description in RNAcentral is "bacterial SSU rRNA". It matches the Rfam family "Eukaryotic small subunit ribosomal RNA", at positions 1170 to 1683 of the family's 1831-position model. The record is from RNAcentral.